AACCAUAGAAACCUGCGGAGUACCUGCGGAAGGAUCAUUACAGAGUUAUCCAACUCCCAAACCCAUGUGAACUUAUCUCUUUGUUGCCUCGGCGCAAGCUACCCGGGACCUCGCGCCCCGGGCGGCCCGCCGGCGGACACACCAAACUCUGUUAUCUUCGUUGAUUAUCUGAGUGUCUUAUUUAAUAAGUCAAAACUUUCAACAACGGAUCU
This 212-nucleotide unclassified non-coding RNA is filed under the name soil metagenome. Its description in RNAcentral is "partial contains 5.8S ribosomal RNA, internal transcribed spacer 2, and large subunit ribosomal RNA". The record is from RNAcentral.